RNAcentral lists this long non-coding RNA (557 nucleotides) under Phascolarctos cinereus (koala). RNAcentral's name for it is "lncRNA (ENSPCIG00000036925.1)". The record is from RNAcentral. Lineage: Eukaryota; Metazoa; Chordata; Mammalia; Diprotodontia; Phascolarctidae.
CUCCAGGAGGAGGAAAAGCGGAGGUGCCAGGAGCAGCUGCGACGGAAGAAGAGGAGCGUCUGUGGAAGGUGGCUGAGGCCCGGAGAAUCAUGAAGCAGGAGAAGCAGCAGCUGGCCCUUGAGAGGGAGCCCGAGAAGCUGCAGGAAAAGUGGGAGCUGCAAGAGAAGAAGAGAUUACUGUGGCAAUUGGAGAAGAGGGAGAAGGUGAGGCACUGGGUGCAGAUGGCCCUUGGUCUCCUCAUCUGUGCACUGAUGGGUCCUUGGGCGUGGCUACAGCCGUCCCCCUUCUCUCCAUGGCCCAUUCUGAGGCUGCUGCCCCUGGUCUCUUGGGCUUUUUCUGGGAACCGGGCACAGGGUGGGGGGCAGCGCCUUAGGUGGGUUUCCAGGACUCACUCGUGUGCUGCAUUGGCCCCAGGAGGAGUGUCACCGUCAACAGCAAGAGCCAAAGAAGCUGCAGGAGGAGCAGGAGAAGGCCAAGGACGCUGCAGCUGCUGCCUGGUCAGCGGAAGGUCAAGGCCAAAAGCUCCCUGCCUCUCAGAAGUGUCGUCGAAGGUUUAG